GAGAUGGCCGAGAAGACUUGCGCGCAGGCGCGGUCUCGCGUUCUUUUCGCGGUCGGCCGCGUGGCUGGAAGUCAUGGCUGCUCCCGUUGGUGUUGAGCACGGCGAGCAGCCUCAGGCCUUUAGUGAUGAUGAGGCCUUUCUUUGUUUGGCGUCUGCGGAGACGGUGAAAAGCAGAGCUCCAGGUUGAAGGAUGAGAGUAACGGAUGGAGCCCUAACAUGAAUUAAAGAUGUUGGCUGUGGCCUUGAAAACAGUCAUGUGAAAACUCAUCACCUUAAGGUGUUAAGUGUAAGGAUCUUCAUGAUGAAGGUUCUGUAAAUGGUGCAGUCAGCCUCAAUUUCCGAAGCCGGAAAAGGAUCCUCUAGUAGCCACAGUGUGGCAGCUGCUCUGAACCAGGACCUGGACCCGGACCCAAAGUGCCAUGUCUUCAAUGCAUGUUAGCUCCCAGUGAUGCCAGAUGGGAUCAGCACAGCCCUGCCUCUGCUGCUAAUUGUUCCUCUAAAGUAAUCGCCAUGCGUUCUUCGGGCUUCACCUUUAAAGGAAUGAAGCGACUGAGAUUAUUCUGGAAAACCUUUUGGCAGUUAGUGAAAUUAGAGUACAACUAAGAACAUUUUCAGACCUCCACUGUGGAUGACUGGGGUAUAAUCUCACAAAUCGAUGGGACUGCAGGGAUUGUAAACUGAAAUGAACAUGAUUAUACUCUGUUGGAAGAGCCUAAGAGGAAACUGACGCCAUGAGUUUCAGAGAGUAAUGCUUAACCCCAGGUACACAGGAUGCCGUCUUAUGUUUUCUCUUUUUUAGUUACCCACUACAUUGAUUUUGUGAUCUGCUAAUGGGUUGCCACCCACAACCAUUGCUUUAGCACUUUUACUUCAAAUCAAUGAAGGAUUGAUAAAAGUUCUCCUGGUGUCUCCGCAGAGUGGCUUCCAGGAACAGAUCUUUGCAUAGAAUAUCAGUGGUUUCCUUUUUUGUUUCAAAUAGUGGUGAGAAAAUACCCAGUGUUGACUCACCAAGGCAAUCAGCUUCCUUUUUCCCUUUUUUUUUUUACAUUUUAUAUUUUUGCUUUAUUUUAUUUUAUUUUGUUUAUUUUUUGAGACGGAGUUCCACUCUGUCGCCAGGCUGGAGUGAAGUGGUACAAUCUUGGCUCACUGCAGCCUCCACCUCCCAGGUUCAAGCAAUUCUCCUGGCUCAGCCUCCCAAGUGCUGGGACUACAGGCGCGUACCUUCUUUAGUAGAGACUGGGUUUCACCAUGUUGGCCAGGAUGGUCUCUAUCUCCUGACCUCAUGAUCUGCCCGCCUCAGCCCCCCAAAGUGCUGGGAUUACAGGCGUGAGCCAUCACGCCUAGCCUUUUUUUUAAAUUUAUUUUAAUUUAAAUGUAAAUCUUUUUCAUUUUUUGGGGAGUUUUUUUUUUUUUUUUUUUUUUUUUUGAGACAGUCUUGCUCUGUCACCCAGGCUGGGAGUGCAGUGGCAUGAUCUCUGCAACCUCUACCUCCCAGGUUCAAGCAAUUCUUGUGCCUCAGCCUCCCAACUAACUGGGACUACAGGUGCAUGCCACCACACCUGGCUAAUUUUUUAUGUUUUAGUAGAGACAGGAUUUCAACCAUGUUGGCCAGGUUGGUCUCAAACUCCUGAGCUCAGGCAAUCCACCUGCCUUGGCCUCCCAAAGUGAUAGGAUUACAGGUGUGAGCCACCACACCCAGCUAUUUUUUCUUUUGUUUUUUAAUUUUAAACUUGGGGGGGUCUCAAUUUGUUACCCUGGCUGGUCUCGAACUCCCGGACUUAAGCGAUCCUCUGGCUCCAAGCCCACUACCAGUCUCAGGUUUCUUUACUAAAAGAUCACUACCUUUUUUUCUCUUAUCUGCUGCCAUGUGAGACGUGGCUUUCAUUUCACCUUCCGCCAUGAUUGUGAGGCCUUCCCUGCCACGUAGAACUGUAAGUCCAAUAAACCUCUUUUGUAAAUUAAAAAAAAAAAGAUCACUAUAUAAGAUACUAGGAUGGAUUGUGACUGUUGAGGAGUACUUACAUAUCCUACAUUUGACUACAUUCUUUCCAAACCAAGUAUUCUGUCCAAAGGAACAUACUGCUAUCAUGGAGACCAAGGAGGGACUGUUUAAGGUUGCCAAGGUGAAGUGAGCUGAGAGGCUUUGUCCUUGUGCCAGCAACUCUGAAAUCUCUCUUAAUUCCUGCUGUCCAGGCAGCAGAAUGCCAUGGUUUCCCCAAGUAGGUAGCUGCUUUAGCAAUUAAAGCCCAAAUGUCUGUUCUGUUGA
Molecule: long non-coding RNA, 2266 nt
Organism: Pongo pygmaeus (Bornean orangutan)
Lineage: Eukaryota; Metazoa; Chordata; Mammalia; Primates; Hominidae
Exons: 5
Source: RefSeq, a predicted model, not a curated record